AGUGAACGCUGGCGGUAGGCCUAACACAUGCAAGUCGAACGGCAGCACAGUAAGAGCUUGCUCUUACGGGUGGCGAGUGGCGGACGGGUGAGGAAUACAUCGGAAUCUACUUUUUCGUGGGGGAUAACGUAGGGAAACCUACGCUAAUACAGCAUACGACCUACGGGUGAAAGCAGGGGAUCUUCGGACCUUGCGCGAUUGAAUGAGCCGAUGUCGGAUUAGCUAGUUGGCGGGGUAAAGGCCCACCAAGGCGACGAUCCGUAGCUGGUCUGAGAGGAUGAUCAGCCACACUGGAACUGAGACACGGUCCAGACUCCUACGGGAGGCAGCAGUGGGGAAUAUUGGACAAUGGGCGCAAGCCUGAUCCAGCCAUACCGCGAGGGUGAAGAAGGCCUUCGGGUUGUAAAGCCCUUUUGUUGGGAAAGAAAAGCAGCAGGUUAAUACCCCGCUGUUCUGACGGUACCCAAAGAAUAAGCACCGGCUAACUUCGUG
RNAcentral lists this ribosomal RNA (492 nucleotides) under uncultured bacterium. Its description in RNAcentral is "partial 16S ribosomal RNA". It matches the Rfam family "Bacterial small subunit ribosomal RNA", at positions 29 to 507 of the family's 1533-position model. The record is from RNAcentral.